Pseudophryne corroboree (corroboree frog) is the source of this 1867-nucleotide RNA transcript. It is a transcript of the gene named transcription factor SPT20 homolog, with no coding region annotated. The transcript is spliced from 7 exons. NCBI's taxonomy places the organism in Eukaryota, Metazoa, Chordata, Amphibia, Anura, Myobatrachidae. The record is from RefSeq and is a predicted model, not a curated record.
CCCGACGUGCAUCACGUGUAGCGCGAUGACGUCACCAGACUGCGCCACAGCUGACGGGAGAUUGCCGCCCGACGGACUCCGGCGGUAGGCGGUCCCCGCUCCGGCCCGCGCAACACACACCAGUGGUGAGGGGUUAUAAGUUUUCAGACAAGUUACCAGACAUCAGCAUGCUGGUUGGAGGAGCUAGUUUAUCCAUGGUUACUCACUGUUUGAAGAUAGAAGCACACGGCAGGCUUUGCAGACACCAAGUAUCACAGCCACAGACUUCUGCAAGAUUCUUUCACACUCUGAGAGCACUAGCAGUCCAAGUUAAACUUCUUCUGACACCAUGUUUUGUUCAUACGUUUGUAAAUCCAGUCAUCAGGACACAGAGACAUCUGCUCUCUGGUCCAGUGCGCUGAAUGAAGACUCAGAACCACACACAGCAAAGUUUGUAGAAGAAGCUGUUACCACUGGGCAUGUGCAGCCGCUCUGUUCUGUCCCCUAAACUGCAUAAUGUGUCGGGAGUUCUUAAACCGUAUCACCUUAUACACGGAGAAAUGCGUUAAGGAAGCUACCUACUGCUUGUAUCCAUUAUAAACCACCUGGAUUCCUUACUUACUGGAGACCGCCUUCACAUCUUCUUACAGUGACCCGGAGCAGCGCCUGGUUUCUCCCUCCCCGAGGACAUCGAGAUACCGCCGCGCUACAUAUGCGCACCACCGGAUAAACAUUACAUCAGCCGGCCUCGCAGCAGCGGCAACGGUGAGAGAUCAGCUGGCGGUGGGGAGGGACACCUGUAGAGCGCUGGGUCCUCGGAUUCAUUAACAUUACCUGAGGCAGUUGGCGGCUUCUUCAUUGGAUGCACGGUUGUACGCCAGAGAAGCACCACAGCCAGGCCCCAGCCAACACUGCCAAGUGAUGCAGAUGCUGGCGAAGCAGGUUCUUCUUCUGCAAGCCGCCCUCCACUAAGGCGACCAUCACAGGGCUCGGUGAGUGUGCCUAGGAGGCCAAGCAAGACACGUCGCGUUGAGCCUGAGUCUGCGGCUCCAUCAUCACCACCCCGGCGGCGCAUCUCCGCAGUGUUGCCCCAGCCACCACAGGCAAUUUUGGCAAGUCCACAAAGUGAUGAGCCACAAUCACCUCAGCUGUCUGAACCACCCAUCAUGGUCGAGGACGCCCAGCAGGAACCUGACCAACAGCCUACCUUCAGACUACACCUGCAGCCCAUUGAUCCUACCCAGCCAACCCCGCAGCAGGAUAUACCACAAGCAUCCGUUAGCCCCCAAUUAAUUCCAACUCCACCCCAGCAACAAAUGUCCCCUGACUUUUGGAACAGUUGGGCCACACAACAGGUCCAAAACUCUGCCUACCUGAACACACACACACAACACCUUGCCAGUCUGCCCCAUCAUCUUCCUCGCAUUAGUCGGAACUCGGGCAGACUGAUUGUUCAGGUUGGCAGAAUAGCAACUUCAAUGGAGCAGAUCAGGGUGGACAACACUCAAAUGCUUGCAAAUUUGACAAGAAUAAUCGAUGAGCAACAGCGGCAGCAACAAACCCUAAUACAAGUAAUACAGCAUAACCAAGUGGUGAACGAAAGUUUGUCGCGAAUUAUUGCCAGCCACACUGCCACAAAUAUCCAACUUAAUGCGAGUAUACACAACCUCAGCCAAAGUAUUACUGUGAUGGCAGCCCAACAAGUCACCUCAAGCUCCGGAACGACUACCCCAAGCGAGACCCCAGUUACCUCCCCUGUUCGACGCUCAAGCAGAACACGGGCCAACGACCCUGGUCAAACCUCUGCACCCAGCACACACAAAAAAAAAUGAAGGCUGCAUGAAAUGUUUGGAACACAAUAAAUUUUAAGCAAUUGUAUUCCCAGAAA